This 253-nucleotide ribosomal RNA is filed under the name uncultured bacterium. RNAcentral's name for it is "partial 16S ribosomal RNA". It matches the Rfam family "Bacterial small subunit ribosomal RNA", at positions 524 to 776 of the family's 1533-position model. The record is from RNAcentral.
UACAGAGGGUGCAAGCGUUAAUCGGAAUUACUGGGCGUAAAGCGUGCGUAGUCGGUUAUCUAAGUCGGGUGUGAAAUCCCCGGGCUCAACCUGGGAAUUGCAUUCGAUACUGGAUAGCUAGAGUUCGGCAGAGGGAAGCGGAAUUUCGGGUGUAGCGGUGAAAUGCGUAGACAUCCGAAGGAACAUCAGUGGCGAAAGCGGCUUCCUGGACCAGAACUGACGAUCAGGCACGAAAGCGUGGGGAGCAAACAGG